GGGCGCGUAGCUCAGGUGGUUAGAGCGCACGCCUGAUAAGCGUGAAGGUCGGGUGGUUCGAAGUCCACUCGUGCCCAUCA
RNAcentral lists this transfer RNA (80 nucleotides) under Streptococcus agalactiae 18RS21. RNAcentral describes it as "tRNA-Ile". It matches the Rfam family "tRNA". Rfam says of the family: Transfer RNA (tRNA) molecules are approximately 80 nucleotides in length. Their secondary structure includes four short double-helical elements and three loops (D, anti-codon, and T loops). Lineage: Bacteria; Bacillati; Bacillota; Bacilli; Lactobacillales; Streptococcaceae. The record is from RNAcentral.